GAUGAACGCUGGCGGCGUGCCUAAUACAUGCAAGUCGAGCGAACAGAUGAGGAGCUUGCUCCUCUGACGUUAGCGGCGGACGGGUGAGUAACACGUGGAUAACCUACCUAUAAGACUGGGAUAACUUCGGGAAACCGGAGCUAAUACCGGAUAAUAUAUUGAACCGCAUGGUUCAAUAGUUAAAGACGGUUUUGCUGUCACUUAUAGAUGGAUCCGCGCCGCAUUAGCUAGUUGGUAAGGUAACGGCUUACCAAGGCAACGAUGCGUAGCCGACCUGAGGGGGUGAUCGGCCACACUGGAACUGAGACACGGUCCAGACUCCUACGGGAGGCAGCAGUAGGGAAUCUUCCGCAAUGGGCGGAAGCCUGACGGAGCAACGGCGCGGGAGUGAAGAAGGUCUUCGGAUCGUAAAACUCUGUUAUUAGGGAAGAACAAAUGUGUAAGUAACUAUGCACGGCUUGACGGUACCUAAUCAGAAAGCCACGGCUAACUACGUG
RNAcentral lists this ribosomal RNA (497 nucleotides) under uncultured bacterium. RNAcentral's name for it is "partial 16S ribosomal RNA". It matches the Rfam family "Bacterial small subunit ribosomal RNA", at positions 28 to 507 of the family's 1533-position model. The record is from RNAcentral.